CUUUGUUGUUAGGAAAUCUGUAAGCACUUAUGGUUAUAAUUACCAUCUGUGGUUUUGCCAUUCAGGUAAAGUAGCAGCAGCAGCGCUGAUACCGGUUAGGCUCAGCCCCGCGAGCUGCUAAUCAAAACCAACCCCUUUGCCUUCAGGUUGAAGAUGAUGUCAAACUUGAUUGAACGUCCACCUUUGAUGGCUUUACCUGAGACCCAACAACAUCUGUGUCCUACUCACAGUAGCUCUGAAAGAGCCCUGGUUUCAGUCUGUGGGCUGACAGUGGAUUUCAGUGCAGACAUCAGGCAGCGCAGCUCUUCCCGCAUCAGCUCACACCUGCUCUGCAAAGCUGCUCUCCAUCCAACACACACAGCCUGUUUGCAAGCUCCGUGUAUGUUUGCAUAACCUCGGGUUUUUUUGGCCGGAAACCAGGCUUUUGGGAGGAUUUCUCAGGCUUUCAAAACCCAUCAUGGUGCUGGGGCUGUGAGUACGUGUGCUCUAACCACACAACGUGACAGGCAGGAGGAAGGAGCGGCGGCCGCGGGAGGGAAAGAUGGGUCUGUCCAAGCUGUGAAAGCAGACUUUCUGGGAUCACACCUUGCUUUUUUUCCUCUCCUCAGAGAUAUUUUCUUUCAAACAUCAUAAAAAUGUAUUGGAUAUUCUUUCAAGGAUGCCCAGGAGAGAGAGCAGAAGGAAAGGCAGCCUGCAGCGUGGCUCUGUGGAUAACUGAUUGCUUUGCUCAUUUUGGUCUGACCCAGAACAAAUAUGUUUCAUUUUUCCAAUGAGCUGGUAAAAAAAAUACAGUCCCCUUAUUUCUAGUUUACUUAGAGCUGUUUUUUUUUACUUUUCUUUUUUUUUAUUCUCUUCUUAAUGCAGGGCAAUUUCAGAACAAAAAACCAAAAUCAAGACUUGAAAAAUCACUUUUCAGGGUUUUCUUAUUCUUGUCAAUACGAUUUUCCCCGUUCAGCCUGAUUUCACAAACCAUUUACA
RNAcentral lists this long non-coding RNA (978 nucleotides) under Junco hyemalis (dark-eyed junco). RNAcentral's name for it is "lncRNA (ENSJHYG00000008632.1)". The record is from RNAcentral. Lineage: Eukaryota; Metazoa; Chordata; Aves; Passeriformes; Passerellidae.